This 252-nucleotide long non-coding RNA is filed under the name Vitis vinifera (wine grape). RNAcentral describes it as "long non-coding RNA (VVIN_LNC004239)". Lineage: Eukaryota; Viridiplantae; Streptophyta; Magnoliopsida; Vitales; Vitaceae. The record is from RNAcentral.
UCAUUUAUAGCACCCCGAGCCCUGAGCUCACGACCCGGAGUCAUUUACAUCAUUCUAGCCACUUGUGAGUGGCCUCGACCCGACACCUUGAGUCGGAAAGUAUCCUGAUCGGCUAUCUAUUUAGAGCCCGGAGCUCUCGACCCAGAGUCAUUAUUUCUUAUUUUAGAGCCCGGAGCUCUCGACCCAGAGUCACUUUCCAUUUCGACCCAGAGUCAUUAUUUCCUAUUUUAGAGCCCGGAGCUCUCGACCCAG